This 684-nucleotide ribosomal RNA is filed under the name uncultured Nitrososphaerota archaeon. RNAcentral describes it as "bacterial SSU rRNA". It matches the Rfam family "Archaeal small subunit ribosomal RNA", at positions 73 to 760 of the family's 1478-position model. The record is from RNAcentral. Lineage: Archaea; Thermoproteati; Nitrososphaerota.
AAUAUGUGGCAUACGGCUCAGUAACACGUAGUCAACAUGCCCAGGGGACGUGGAUAACCUCGGGAAACUGAGGAUAAACCGCGAUAGGUCAUCACUUCUGGAAUGGGUAAUGACUUAAACCUAUAUGGCCCCUGGAUUGGACUGCGGCCGAUCAGGCUGUUGGUGAGGUAAUGGCCCACCAAACCUGUAACCGGUACGGGCUCUGAGAGGAGGAGCCCGGAGAUGGGCACUGAGACAAGGGCCCAGGCCCUAUGGGGCGCAGCAGGCGCGAAACCUCUGCAAUAGGCGAAAGCUUGACAGGGUUACUCUGAGUGAUUUCCGUUAAGGAGAUCUUUUGGCAUCUCUAAAAAUGGUGCAGAAUAAGGGGUGGGCAAGUCUGGUGUCAGCCGCCGCGGUAAUACCAGCACCCCGAGUGGUCGGGACGUUUAUUGGGCCUAAAGCAUCCGUAGCCGGUUCUACAAGUCUUCCGUUAAAUCCACCUGCUUAACAGAUGGGCUGCGGAAGAUACUAUAGAGCUAGGAGGCGGGAGAGGCAAGCGGUACUCGAUGGGUAGGGGUAAAAUCCGUUGAUCCAUUGAAGACCACCAGUGGCGAAGGCGGCUUGCCAGAACGCGCUCGACGGUGAGGGAUGAAAGCUGGGGGAGCAAACCGGAUUAGAUACCCGGGUAGUCCCAGCUGUAAACGA